AACGAACGCUGGCGGCAUGCCUAACACAUGCAAGUCGAACGAGACCUUCGGGUCUAGUGGCGCACGGGUGCGUAACGCGUGGGAACCUGCCCUUAGGUUCGGAAUAACUCCCCGAAAGGGGUGCUAAUACCGGAUAAUGUCUUCGGACCAAAGAUUUAUCGCCUUUGGAUGGGCCCGCGUUGGAUUAGCUAGUUGGUAGGGUAAAAGCCUACCAAGGCGACGAUCCAUAGCUGGUCUGAGAGGAUGAUCAGCCACACUGGGACUGGGACACGGCCCAGACUCCUACGGGAGGCAGCAGUGGGGAAUAUUGGACAAUGGGCGAAAGCCUGAUCCAGCAAGGCCGCGUGAGUGAUGAAGGCCUUAGGGUUGUAAAGCUCUUUUACCCGGGAUGAUAAGGACAGUACCGGGAGAAUAAGCUCCGGCAAACUCCGU
Molecule: ribosomal RNA, 432 nt
Filed under: uncultured bacterium
Lineage: Bacteria
Description: partial 16S ribosomal RNA
Rfam family: Bacterial small subunit ribosomal RNA
Source: RNAcentral